CCUGCAUCAGGAAUAAAAACCCCUUCCCCUCCCUUGUUCAGGUGUGCUCUCAGCAUUGCUCCAUCCACGAGUCACACCCUUCUAUAGAAGUAAAAUCGCCUUGCUGAGAAAAUUAAAUUUAUGUUUGAGUGCUAUUCCUUUUGUGGCACUGAGAAUUUAUUUUUAACAAGAGGAGAAGGAACACAAGACCCCAGAAGUAUGCCAACAUAUAAAACCCCAAGUCAAAGGUCAAACCAGACACUUAAGUCCUCAAAUCACCUGCCUGGACCACUUCCAAGCAUACUUUCCUUCCUUUCGUUUCUGUUCUAAAGCUUUCUAAUAAGCUCACUCCUGCUCUAAAAUUUGCCUUGGUCUCUUACUCUGCCUUAUGCCUCUCAAAUUCUUUCUAUUGAAGAGGAGAGAUUUGAGGUUGCUGCAGACCCAUAACAAUUCACUGCUGCUAAAAUACUUUGCUUCAUGACUCAGAGACGUUCACUAGUGCUAAUAGUAUGGGCUUUUAUCAUAAACAUUUUGGGAUAAAUUAAUGCCUAUUAGCUGUCUUUAAAUAUUGGAAAAAUUAAUCAUCAUAGCGAUCACAUAAUAAUAAAUUUGGCAUCUUACAUUUGUCGGAUGCUUUAUUCUGGAACAAGUGCUCUGCUACAUAUUACCACAUUUUUGAUCUCACAGCAGCCCUAAUAUAAGUUCAUUUGAGUGCCAGCCUCUGUCUAACCACCUUUUCAACUCUGACUGUGGAAACCACAACAAGUAAUAGUAAUGUGGAUCUUCACUUUAGGUAUUCUACACAGGGAAGAGAAUGAACUUUGUGCUGACAUCAUCUGCCAGCUUCCCAGAAGCCCUCCCUAAAUGUCUAUCUGUCUCACCAAAUUUUUACCCCACAGCAGGUACUGAUACCCAAGUCUCUUUACUUAUAUAUCCCACUCCUCUCCCGCAGUCCCACAGUCUCUCAGGACUAUGCCAUUUCUAGUUUUUAGUUCUCCCUUCCUUAGUGCCAUUUUUAUCCUUCCUUCACCUGCAUACCAGUUCCUGGGAGUACAGUUUGCCUCAAGACUCCAGGCUCCAGAAGGAGAUGAGAAGAUGAACAGAAGAGCAGAAGAAUGGCAGAAUGGCAUGGCAGAGAGAAGAAAAGGAGCAUCUGAAUGCCAAGAGGAGUUUGACUGGGUGUGGCCAGAGAGGAGUUCAGCUGCUGGAUGAUCAAACUCCAGGGGAAGAUCAUCUUCCCACUUCCUCCCUGUGCUAGUCCCCCAUCGAUCCCACUGAGAGCCACCUCUUCCACCCAAGAAAACCCCCACAUUUACCACCCUUAAGUCUGUGUGUGAGUUGAUUCUUCUGGGUUGCUGGAUAAGAGCUCCACAUACAGAAAGCUGUCACACUGGCCUUCUGCCAUUGUGAAAAGGCAGAGGGUUCACUGAGCUGGUUAACACGUAAGCCGUCUGCAGAUGGCAAAGCUAAAAGAGCGCACUGUAACACAUGUCACACCCACUUAGGCUUUGGGAGUUGCAGGCACACACCUCUAGUUGCUACCAUGGGGCCAGAGCCCCAGAGCACUCACCCUGGCUCCUGUGCCUGCCUGUCUGCGUGCUCCCCCAACUCUAAAAUGUUUGAGUGUACGGCAGCCGAAUGCAUAGGCCCCCACCCCUGUCGCAUGUUCUGCAAGUGGUUCAGGGAACUCUCCCGUUACGAUAAGGAGAAAUACAAACUUGUUGACAAUCUUAGAACAUAAUUGACUAAAGAAUGACUGAAUUUUCAACUAUUCUGUAAAUCUAAAAUUAUUCCAAAAUCAAGUUUAUUAAAAAAGAAACAAAAAGUAAGCUACCAUGUGAUGAGGGAGACAGCUCUAGUCACUGGAAAUGUUGAAACAGAGUAUAGAAAAUCUCUUGGUGGGAAGUAUGUACAAUGGACUGAAGCAUGAGUCAAUUAUCCAGUGUAUUUACUACAUUUAUAUUGACAUGUCACAGAGAGGAGGGGACAGAAAGUAUUGUGUAUGACAGAUUCAAUAUUAAAAAUUGUCAUGAUAGGUUGCAACCAACCAGGUAAAAUAUCAAAAGGAUAAACAUAAUGCCACACAUUUGGGUUUACAAUCUCAAUUGCUUUAUAUAUAUUAAAUAAAAAUGUAUAGUACAUAAUUAAU
Molecule: long non-coding RNA, 2128 nt
Filed under: Homo sapiens (human)
Lineage: Eukaryota; Metazoa; Chordata; Mammalia; Primates; Hominidae
Description: HSALNT0052249
Source: RNAcentral